Molecule: long non-coding RNA, 616 nt
Organism: Salvia hispanica
Lineage: Eukaryota; Viridiplantae; Streptophyta; Magnoliopsida; Lamiales; Lamiaceae
Source: RefSeq, a predicted model, not a curated record
UCUCUUUCAUCGUUCUUUAAUCUUUCUUCUCUUUCAUCUUUCAACGUUAGUUCUUCGUUAAAAAUCCGGUUUUAUAAAAUCGUGCGUUUGUGCGAAACUUGCCUUGGUUGUAAUUAUCGUAUGCAGUUUGUGCAUUUGUGCGUUUGUGCGUUAUUUUUGGGAGUGUUCCGGGAAGAUUAUCGUUAAUACAAUGGAAGAAGGUGGUUCUUCAACAAUGGACGAAGCUUAUGUUCAAACAUGGACGAAGAGAGAAAAGGCUAUAAAGGAGGCCGCUGGGCCUUUGAGACGGUGUAAGGCUUGCGAUGAGAUGGGGCUGUCACGAAUCUAGAAAUUGUCCAAUGCUUAAAGAGAUGGAGAAGGAGAAUGCACUGCGCAAGGGCAAAAGGAAAUGUUGAUGAUUUUUUGAAUAUCACGAAGCUCCUUCCCAUCUUAUUUUUAUUGUUCUUCGGAUUAGUCUUCGUUUGUUAUCCAUUAACUUAUUCUCAUUAGUCGUACAUUUUGGCACAUUAUAUGCAUUAAUAAAAAUGCAUUAUUAUUAUUAUGUUAUUAGUGCAUUAUUAGCUACAAGAACUUUAUUUUUUACGCAAUAUCACAUCUCUACCUGAUCGAUCAGUUA